RNAcentral lists this ribosomal RNA (441 nucleotides) under uncultured bacterium. RNAcentral's name for it is "partial 16S ribosomal RNA". It matches the Rfam family "Bacterial small subunit ribosomal RNA", at positions 338 to 795 of the family's 1533-position model. The record is from RNAcentral.
CCUACGGGUGGCAGCAGUGGGGAAUAUUGGGCAAUGGGCGCAAGCCUGACCCAGCAACGCCGCGUGAAGGAUGAAGGUUUUCGGAUUGUAAACUUCUGUCGCGAGGGACGAAGAAUGACGGUACCUCGUAAGAAAGCCCCGGCUAACUACGUGCCAGCAGCCGCGGUAAUACGUAGGGGGCAAGCGUUGUCCGGAAUGACUGGGCGUAAAGGGAGUGUAGGCGGCUCAUCAAGUUAGAUGUGAAAUCCCGCGGCUUAACCGCGGAACUGCAUCUAAAACUGGUAAGCUGGAGUGCAGGAGAGGUGAGUGGAAUUCCUAGUGUAGCGGUGAAAUGCGUAGAUAUCAGGAGGAACACCGGCGGCGAAGGCGGCCUGCUGGACCGCGACUGACGUUGAGGCUCGAAAGCGUGGGGAGCGAACAGGAUUAGAUACCCUUGUAGUC